CAAAUAUGCCGUAAAAUGUCACUUUUCAGAUGGUUUUUGUCAAAAAUGAAAGUGGCCGCAUCCGUGUUCAUCCUCAAUCUUUAUAUAUGUAAUGUAUUAUCAUAAAAUACAACUUACAUUUAAUAUUAAGGAUGAACACGAAUGCGGCCGCUUUCGUUUCACACGAAAACCGUCUAAAAUUUAACUAAAAUGCUAGAAUUGUGAAGAUUUUAGUAAUUUAGCAUGACUUAAUGGUGCUAAUACCCGAUACAUGUGCAUUGUAUUGUCAAAAACAGCCCAUAUUUAUGUAGCAGAAGCAUUCUACUGUACAACAAAUAACUAAAAGUUUACAUUUUAACAAUUUUGUAAAACUGCUAUAUUUUGGGGCCAAAAAGGGGUCUUACUGGACCUUCUCCUUUAUAGUAUUUAUCAUUUUA
This 416-nucleotide long non-coding RNA is filed under the name Mytilus galloprovincialis (Mediterranean mussel). The record is from RNAcentral. Lineage: Eukaryota; Metazoa; Mollusca; Bivalvia; Mytilida; Mytilidae.